ACACCGCCACCGCUGUUCUGUUACCCGACGGCCAAAGCCGCCGUAUCACUUACACUUCCACCGCGUUCACUACAUUUCACACACCUCAUUCCAACCUUUAUUAUAGAAGGAGGAUUCUAGCCUGAGGUUCCAUCACCUUCAACUCAAAUCCUGUGAAAUUAAGGAUUUGUUGAAUGAUUGCUUGAAUUGGUGAUGGAUUUAGUCUGAUUUGGGCAGAAAUUCUGAAUAAAAUCGAAAGGCGCAAAAUUUUGCAAUUGAACUAUAUUUUCUUAAUUAAGUAGUACAUAUUAUUGCU
This is a non-coding RNA of Salvia hispanica, 295 nucleotides long. Lineage: Eukaryota; Viridiplantae; Streptophyta; Magnoliopsida; Lamiales; Lamiaceae. The record is from RefSeq and is a predicted model, not a curated record.